Molecule: transfer RNA, 99 nt
Filed under: Pseudomonas sp. URMO17WK12:I11
Lineage: Bacteria; Pseudomonadati; Pseudomonadota; Gammaproteobacteria; Pseudomonadales; Pseudomonadaceae
Description: tRNA-His
Source: RNAcentral
GGCGUUUCUCCGGGGCGAGGGUAAAACCGGCGCGGGAAAUGGUCUCGCCGGCCAAGGUGAUUUCACCUUCGUGCACCGGUUCGAAACCGGCGAUCGCCC